GACGAACAGCUGGUUCGCCGCCUAAUGCAUGUCCGUCAAAACAAAGCGACCGGGGCUUGCGCUGGUCAAUCUAGUGCCAAACGGCUGACUGACACGGGGGUAACCAGACCAUCUUACGGGGAUAACAUCCGGAAACGGAUGCUAAAACCGCGUAGGUCUUCUAGCCCCCUGGCUUGAAGAGGAAAAGAGGCGCAAGCUUCUGCUGACGGAUGGACCCGCGGUGCAUUAGCUACUUGGUGAAGUGACCGCUCCCCUGGGCCGUGAUGCAUAGCCGACCUGAGAUGGUGAUCGGCCACAUUGCGACUGAUACACAGCCCAAACUCCUACAGCAGGGAACAACAUGGAAUCUUCCGCCCUGGAGGGCAAGUCUGACUGAUCAACGCCGCGUGAGUGAACAAGGCUUUCGGAUCGUCUAACUCUGUUGUUAGAGAAGAACAAGUGCUCCACUAACUGUUAGCGCCUCGCCCGUAUCUUACCGAAAAGCCACUGUGUAACUACGUCGCCCCAGCCGCAGUGAAUACAUGUGUGGCAUGCGUUGUCCAGAUUUAUUGAGCGUCCAGCGAGCGCAAGCGGUUCCUUACGUCUGGAACGAAAGCCCCGCGGCUCAACCGGGGAGGGUCAUUGGAAACUGGUUAACUUGAGUGCAGAAGAGGAGAGUGGAAUUCCAUGUGUAGCGGUGAAAUGCGUAAAUAUAUGGAGGAACACCAGUGGCGAAGGCGACUCUCUGGUCUGUAACUGACGCUGAGGCUCGAAAGCGUGGGUAGCAAACAGGAUUAAAUACCCUGGUAGUCCCCGCCGUAAACGAUGAGUGCUAAGUGUUGGAGGGUUUCCGCCCUUCAGUGCUGCAGUUAACGCAUUAAGCACUCCGCCUGGGGAGUACGACCGCAAGGUUGAAACUCAAAGGAAUUGACGGGGACCCGCACAAGCGGUGGAGCAUGUGGUUUUAUUCUAAGCAACGCGAAAAACCUUACCAAGUCUUGACAUCCUUUGACCACUCUAGAGAUAGAGCUUUCCCUUCGGGGACAAAAUGACAGGUGGUGCAUGGUUGUCGUCAGCUGGUGUCGGGAGAUGUUGGGUUAAGUCCCGCCACGAGCGCAACCCUUAUUACUAGUUGCCAGCAUUCAGUUGGGCACUUUAGUGAGACUGCCGGUGACAAACCGGAGGAAGGUGGGGAUGACGUCAAAUCUUCAUGCCCCUUACGACUUGGGGUACACACGUGCUACAAGGGAUGGUCCACCGAGCAGCGAACUCGUGAGGGUAAGAGAAUCUGUUAAAGCCAUUGUCAGUUCGGAUUGUAGGCUGCAACUCGCCUGCACGAAGCCGGAAUCGUUAGUAAUCGCGGAUCAGCACGACGCGGUGAAAUACGUUCCCGGCUC
This 1376-nucleotide ribosomal RNA is filed under the name uncultured bacterium. Its description in RNAcentral is "bacterial SSU rRNA". It matches the Rfam family "Bacterial small subunit ribosomal RNA", at positions 28 to 1380 of the family's 1533-position model. The record is from RNAcentral.